This 29-nucleotide non-coding RNA is filed under the name Mus musculus (house mouse). The record is from RNAcentral. Lineage: Eukaryota; Metazoa; Chordata; Mammalia; Rodentia; Muridae.
UGAGCAUCCUGUACCCUGUACACCAGCUA